Mauremys reevesii (Reeves's turtle) is the source of this 637-nucleotide long non-coding RNA. RefSeq lists it as uncharacterized. The transcript is spliced from 3 exons. NCBI's taxonomy places the organism in Eukaryota, Metazoa, Chordata, Testudines, Geoemydidae. The record is from RefSeq and is a predicted model, not a curated record.
CUGAUCUGAAGCACCAUGUUUCUUUCUUUUAACUCUGGCCCAAUAAACAGCUUCUGCUUAGUCUGUUACAUGACAGGUAGCAAUGGUGUUCACAUCUCGAGACUUCACACUUAAAGGGGUGAGGCAAGAAGAAACAGGAAAGUCAACUGUGUGAACAUGAAAAGAAGACAAGAAGGAUAAGAGCAGGGAGAUUUACUGAUCUUCCUGAUUGACGAAUACCUUAUUGAUGAAUCUGAAACAUUCCCUGAAUUUAUCACUGUGAUAUCAGGUGUAUACAUGACUUCCCCCUCAGUAUUGUAGCUGACAGCCGCACAAGCAUUUAUGAAAUCAUCUUCUAACACUCCUUUGAAGAAGGUCAUUAUUAUCAUGUUUACGGAUGGGAGACUGAAGCACAGAGAUUCGGCAACUUCUCCAAACUCACACAGAAAGUCUGUAACAGACCAAUUAAACAUUGGUCAUUUGAGUCCCAGCCCAGUUCCCUAGCAACAAGAACAUCCUUGAUGGGAUUUUAUUAUGUAGGCAGUUUCAGAAAGCAGCUACUUCCUAGCCCGGUCACCUGAGGGACCCCAAGAAGUACCCAAGAUCUUAAGGAUGAGUGUCUACAGCAAUUGAUGCAAUACCUAAAGGCUGCCUCUCU